RNA transcript from Apis cerana (Asiatic honeybee), 9263 nucleotides. It is a transcript of the gene named piezo type mechanosensitive ion channel component, with no coding region annotated. NCBI's taxonomy places the organism in Eukaryota, Metazoa, Arthropoda, Insecta, Hymenoptera, Apidae. The record is from RefSeq and is a predicted model, not a curated record.
AGACGGGCGUAGAACGGUUCAGUGUAUGUUGAGCCGGCGUUGAUCGCCGUUCGUCGUUCGAGGCGUAUCGGUGUAAUCGUGAUACGUGCGGAUGAGUCACGAUUCCUCGUCAAAGAAAAAAAAAAAGAAAAAAGAAAAACGCCUCGUGGGCGUUCGUGAAUCGUUCCACUCGAGAAUCACGUAUCGUGGAGUGUAUUUAAAUCGAACGUUAAAUAUAACAUUAAGCGAGGGGAAGAUCGAGUGAGUGUGUGACAGCGUGAGUUUUCACGCGUGUUGGAGCCGGGAAGCGUAUGUUGCUCUCCUGGAAGUUCGAUCGACGUGAACACAAUCGGGAGAAGAAUUGUCGUGAGGGAUGCUUUGAGGCACCGGUGGAGUGGUUUCAUUCAAGGGUGAAAGGGCAUACGAGCAGAUCGAGGCAUGUCCAAGUAUUGGCUGAACGUGGCCCUCAUCAGGGUUCUGUUACCGCUCGUCUUCACCGGAUGUAUAGUAUGGAGGCCUGUAGGAUUGUCACUAGUUUAUUUGGCUCUGAUGCUAUAUUCGCCCCACGUGCCAAUACCGGACGCAAAAACAAUGGCCGGCCACACGGGCCACUAUUUAAAAACUUGCAUCGGUCUGUCUUUUCUCACAACAACCAGCCAAAUCACUUUCCACAUAGUUUUAUUGGCCCUGCCCACUUACGGACACUUCCUCCACAAUUGCGAACCUAUGGAAGUGAUCUUCAGACAUUUAGGUUUCGUAAGGCUAGAUAGCGCGACCGAGUGGGAGAUAUUCUUCUGGUUGACACCAGAAUUAAUCGUCUUACCUACUAGUAUAAUAAUAUAUUUCAUAUGUCGUUUCCUAUCGCAAAAAACGAUCACCGAAGAAGGCGACGCCUCAUUGCAUCAAAACAUCGAGGCCUCUAAGAAAAUCGUAGAUGGAAAUAUUAAGAUCAUCAACUUCUUAGGACGCAUAGGUACUUACGUGGUACUGGCAUCGUUAUGCAUCACAGCAUGUCUGAGACCUUCGAUCGAAGGCGGUUUCUAUUUCCUCAUCUUCUUGGGAGCUUCGACCUGGUGGGCGUGCAACAAAGAGCUUCGAAAAGGGUUUGCCAGGCUGUGCAGGAUCUUGAUGGCAGUCGUGGUACUUCAUAUCCUGGUUCUGCUCAGCUACCAGAAUCAAAUACCUCAAGAAUUAAUACCCGUGAACAGCAGUUGGCAACGAUAUCUUGCCCUGAUUCCUGUUUAUCGAAUCAACUGCUCCAAUCCAAGAUACGUGGAAUAUACCGAUUAUACAGAUUGGCUGAUUUACGGAUACUCCCUGAGACUGUUCUGGCUUUAUUUCGUUUUGGCGUUGCAAUCACAGUUCCUGAGCAAAAAGCCGAACGUUGCUUUUACUAACGAGGCGUUCCAGGCAAAGAAAGUGAAACGUUUGAGCGGAAAACUGGAGAAUCUGAACACUCCGUUGUCCAGGCACGUUUCCAUCAGGAGAAGGACACCAUCUCAAAGAUGGCAAUCGGCGCGACGAAAGGCUCGCUUGAUGCGAUUUGGGUCCGGGAGAACGGGGCUACUGCAAGAUUCAACUGGAAGUGUUAUCGUCCAGGAUGGCCAUCAGGAUGACAACAUUCAGAUGCAGAGUCUCAGCGAUGCUGGUCCAGAUGAACAAUCCGGAAUUAUCGAACAUAUCAUUAUGGCUAUAUAUUCGAUCUUCCAAUUAAUAAUUAAUUCGUCUUAUCUUGCCACGAAUAUCAUAAUGAUGACGUGGAGUAUAAUGUAUCACAGUUGGACAACUUUUGCACUCUUAUUGUGGGCAUUGAUCCUUUGGAUGGUCCCUAAUAAACGCGCUUUGAUGAUGAAAUGCUCUCCCUUCAUCGUUUUUUAUUCAAUGCUCCUUGUCAUCGUGCAAUACGUUUAUAGCAUGGAUUUGACCGAAGAAGAAUUACCAACGCAAAUAAACAGGAUAAAAGUGUCAGAAAUCGGUUUCAUCAAAACUGAUGAGCUAAGUUGCUGGCAUCUAGUGGUCAAAUGUCUAUUCCUAUCGAUGUUCUGGAUAACCAUGAGACAAUACACGGUCGAAAGAACGAGGCAGAGACGUUCCUCGGCGUUGAGAGACAUGGUGGCACCAUUGCACGUAUCUGUUUCGACAGCUACCACAGCGAUGAACCAGGAAGCCCCGGAAAUUAAAAGCAAAUUCAUGUUGGAUGUCGGUAUACUUUUGAGAAAAUUGUUGACCAAAUUUUGGAUCGCAGUGGUGACCAUCAUGCUGUUCAUUUGUGGAAUCACUGGUGAACGUAUGACGGUGUUCAGGAUCAUUUACAUGUCUCUCUUCCUUGUUCUGGUUAUCACCUUCCAGAUAUCUUGGACAGUUUGGAGAAAGAUGAUGUAUCCAUUCUGGCUUACAGUUAUCGGUUAUUCCGUAAUCAUGCUGAUUCUUGUAUACACUUAUCAAUUUCACAAUUUUCCAGAAUAUUGGAGUUAUUUGCAUAUCGACGAGAACUUGCAAAAAGAUAUCGGUUUAGAAAAAUACGAGAUUAAGGAUCUUUUCGUUAGAUUACUCACACCGACAUUCUUCGUAAUUAUUACGGUUCUUCAGAUCCAUUAUUUUCACAAAGAUUUCUUAGAAGUGACCGAUCUCGAUAAAUUCGGACUCGAGAAUCCUCAAAUGGAACGACCGAGCCUUGGCCAUUCACCGAUUUUAACUAUGCCACCAUCCUCUCCAGAACAAAUUUUUCUCAAUGACGAAAAACCUAAAUACACGUUGAAACAGUUAAAACACAUGUCUAAAAUAGAACUGGUAGCGUUAUUUAGCGAUAUAACAACGCACGUAAAAAAUUUUUACAACUAUAUUUGGCUCUUUUUCGAAAUUCAUAUGCAAAAGAUCAUUUUUAUUUCUGUGAUGCUUCUCUGCGUGAACGAUGUCUGUGCUAUUAAUUUAAUAUUCGUCUUGAUAUCAGUUAUAAUGAUCAAUUUUCGAAGAAGCAUUCAAAUAUGCACCGUGAAUAUAGUAGCAGCGAUAAUCGGUAUAUUAAUGGUUGGAAAAAUGCUGUAUCAAAUUCAGUAUAUCAAUCACAGCAAUUGGGAUAUUAAUUGCACGGUAGUUCCAGAGAAUCAUCAAUAUAGCAGCAAUAACAGUAUGUACAACAUAGCGGAAUGGUUUGGAAUAAAGAAAGCCGAGCCAGGAAAUCUGGCAGAGUUGUUGAAGGGCUACAUAGGAAUCAUAGUGGUGACCACUCUCAGAAAGAUAAUUAGAAUUCGACAAUGUUUCUACAGAAAAGCACGAGGAGAACCUUUGGACAGGCCUCAUGUCAUGUUCCCUUUAAUCACUAGACAGCAUGCUGACGAAGGAAUACCGCAAUGCUUGAAAUUCCUUUUCAAUUACGCAUUCUACAAGUUUGGCGUGGAAUUCUGUUUGAUAGGAAUCGUGGCGCUUAUCGCUACCAGACUCGAUUUCUAUUCGGUCCUCUAUGGUAUUUGGCUUUUAAUAUUGUUCUGUCUGAGGAGAAGAAUCUUAUCCAAAAUUUGGCCCUUCUUCAAGUUUUUCAUUAUAAUUCUUCUACCUAUUCAAUAUGCUUUCGUCGUGGCACCUCCCCCAUGGCUUUGCAUAGACUAUCCAUGGGAAAAGUCAGGAAUUUUGAGGGUAUUACAGGAGUGGAUGUACCUGCCAGAUCCUGAUUUUCCACCUAAUGCUAGAAAACUAAUGUGUGAUUUUCUGCUAUUAAUGAUGAUCGUCAGGCAAAGCCUCGUUUUCAAAAUCGAAAAGCGAAGCGAGGCAACUGGCCAAGAGUUUCCAGCCGGUCACAAUUAUUCCGUAUACGAAAACAUAGAGAAACCAAAUUUCGUAAAUCCUGUGAAGGAUUACGUGUCUGAUGCUCACACUUAUUUAGAUAUAGUGAAACGUGGCGUAUUGAUAAGUUUGAUGUGGAUCGCUUUAUCGAUCGUGUUCCUGGCUGGAACAGAGAGGACCAAUCUGUUCUCGUUGGGUUACUUGAUCGGUGCAUUCGUGUUCCUCUGGCAAGGAAGCGACUUUUACUUGAGGCCAGUGCAAACGAUUUUAACAUGGUGGAACUUGUUGAUCGGCUACAACGUGGUCGUCAUAUUCGCCAAGUCUCUGUUCCAAGGUGUCGGUUGCGUGAUGAUAGAGCAGAUGCAAAUGGUAGCGUGUCCGUUCAUUCAAUUGUUCGGUAUAAUUUGUGUAAGAAAAUUCAAAAGUCCGAUCACCGAUUUGAUCCCGGAAAAAUUGGAUUGCGACGUGCCCGAGGAGGACAUAGGGAUGAUCUGGGACGGGUUGUGCUUCACCUUCCUAUUAUUCCAGAAACGAUUGUUCAAGAGCUACUACUUUUUCCACAUAGUCAACGAAACGAAAGCUAUGAGCAUCCUGGCAUCGAGAGGCGCGGAAUUAUUGGAAGAGUUGCAUCAGAAACGCAUCGAGAUCCAAGAAAACAUCGAGAAGAACGUGUUGCAAAAGUUGAAAUUCAAGAUGGACCAGAUCAAGGCGAAUCAGAGGAAAAUUCAAGGCCCCAGUUACAGGGAGCCAGAGAUACACGCAGUUGAUACUCUCUAUCCAAGGACACGGCCGUUGUACAGAGUUCGCGCGCCAAAGACCAACAAAGAGGCUAUUAGAUCGGGUGACUAUUAUAUGUUCGACGAAUUGGACGACGACGAUGUCACCGACAUGAUCCCGGACACCGAGUCCGAGAAGAGGGAAGCGGAGAAACGUCGCGAGUUGGAGCAACGCGGAAGAAGAAUGACCAUUUCCGAGUUGAUGAACACGCUGAUUAAGACAGACAUUGAGAUCGCGACGCACGUCGCCAUGUAUGGAGGGACUGAAAAGGACGCGCUGAAACUACGUCGUCGGAGUGAGCCUUUAACAAGGAAGAAAUCGUCUAUGUCGUAUCUCAGUGCACGUUCCGAGACCGCAGUGGCCACCGAUGCUGCUGAUGUCACAUCAGCAGACGUAGAAACCGAAGAGAAAGACGAGGAGGAACGUGAGAAGACGGAAGUAACGGACGUCGAAGAAGAAAAAAAGCAUGAAGAGGAAAUACCGAAGGAAGAAAGAAUAUCGAUCGCGACGUAUUUCAACUUUCUCAUAGCAAUAAUUAAUAGCACCUUCAUAUCGAUGACAAGAUAUCUGAAUCGAUUUUCACGGGACUACAGAUACAUUCGUAAAGUUUUAACGAAAGAGAAAAAAUUAUUGAAGGCAAAGCCAGAUCUACAAAUGGGGAUGCGACUUGGUAUGAAUCAAAUGUGGCAGCCAAUGAAUUUUCUGAAGAAAGAAUCGACUAAUGGAAAUACCGAGGAAAUUCACGAUGCUGGUGAAGGUCCUAGCCAACCACGACCGCAAGAGCAGAGCACACUUUUCUCCGAGAUUUCACCUGUUCAACACGAUGAUGAUCGUGGCGAAUUAUCAGAAGCCGAUCAACCACCAAUUAUACAAUUAUUGGCGUCUAUUUGGUUUGCAAUUUUGUCGCAUUCGUCUCUAUUUUGUUACUUCAUGGUAUUCCUUCAUCAAAUUAAAAAUGCAUCUGUUCUCUCCAUUCCUCUACCUCUCAUGGUAUUCUUCUGGGGUUCGUUAACCAUCCCUCGACCCUCGAAAACGUUUUGGAUAACGUUGAUCGCGUACACCGAGGCAAUUGUUAUCGUGAAGUGUAUCUUUCAAUUGGAAGUAUUGCCCUGGAAUCGAGAUCCUGCACCGAAUAACCCUCUCUUCACCCCUAGGAUUAUGGGAGUUGAACGCAAAUUUAAUUAUGCUCUGUGGGACUUAUUAUUGCUCCUCGUGGUGUUCUUCCACAGAUUUAUGCUCAAGUCAUUGGGUCAAUGGACAUCUUUGUCUUUGAAACCGAGAAAAAUUAUUCCUUCGACUUUAACUUUAGUUCCGUCCAAACCACCAGAAAGAGGCCAAGGAGAGCCUGUAACAUUACGACAUGAGAUGAAAGAGAAUAUUCACGCGACACCUACGGGAAGAAUUCUGAAUCUUCAACCAGGUGUGAUUGAUGGUGAAAGUGUGCGAACCAAUGAUGAGUACGAGCAACUUGUCGCGGUUCAAGGGGAGGAAAGCAAUCCUUUGGAGCAAGAGUUUACCAAAGUUAUGAAACUGAUGGUCGUCAAAUAUACGGAACCAAUGAAAAAUUUUUUCCGUAAAAUCCUUAGUCCAUAUGGAAAAGAAAAGACGAACGUAUACGCUUACAUGUUCCUCUGCGACUUUUUCAAUUUUUUGCUGUUCAUUUUUGGAUUUUCCGCAUUUGGAACACAACAAGGUGAUGGUGGUGUCGCAGCUUAUUUACAAGAAAAUAGAGUCCCGAUGCCGUUUCUAUUGAUGUUGCUAUUACAAUUCUCAUUGAUAAUCAUCGAUAGAGCCUUGUUUCUAAAGAAAUCGAUCUUGGGCAAAUUAAUUUUCCAUUACUUCCUAAUACUUGGCAUUCACAUUUGGAUGUUCUUCAUUUUGCCGAGCGUAACUGAAAGACGAUUCAACGAGAGGCUACCGCCUCAAAUUUGGUACAUGGUCAAGUGUUUCUAUCUCUUAUUGGCAGCCUAUCAAUUAAGACAAGGUUAUCCAACGAGGAUACUUGGUAAUUUCCUGUGCAAGAAUUACAGUAUUAUCAACUACGUUUUAUUCAAAGGAUUCAUGUUGGUCCCAUUCUUGUUCGAGUUGAGAGCAGUAAUGGAUUGGAUCUGGACGGAUACUUCCAUGACAAUAAUGGAUUGGUUCAAAAUGGAAGAUAUCUUCGCCAAUAUUUAUCAAAUCAAGUGUAUGCGAGGGGUAGAAACAGAUUUCCCUCAACCACGAGGCGAGAAGAAGGGUCAGAUAAGCAAAUACUUGAUGGGUGGUGCUGCUCUUUUUUUCAUGAUCGGAUUAAUAUGGUUCCCUUUGCUCUUAUUUGCCCUCGGUGGCACCGUCGGCAUCUCCAAUCUACCAUACGACGUUUCCAUGAGAAUAAGAAUCGGCCCUCACGAGCCCAUUUACUCCAUGUCGGCGCAAGCUCAAUCCAUCAUGGAAUACAGCCAAUUCGAUUACACGAGAUUUACCAAUUUGUACGUGAGAGACAAACCUGCGAUGACUUUUCUCGAGAACUACAUACAUUCUGAUGUUGCUGCCGUGAGAUUGAGCGGAUUCUCUAGGAAAUUAUGGAAUAUAUCUCCGCCAGACUUGGAAAAAUUGAUAGAGGAAUUAAGAGAUAACGAAACAACCGUGAUUGUUCACGUGGAGUGGACGGUUUCUCGGAGGACAGACGCGAAAGAUGCGACUGGAAUAACCACGACAAUUCGAGACAUAAAAUUGAAACCGUAUGAAAACAAGGAAUUUAAUCCCGUGAGAGAAAUGUUAGCCAAUAUACUUUCCAACUUAACGAUCCCCCACACCAGCACUAUCAUAUUGCCAUAUGCUUUCCCAAAAUUUCUGAAAGUAACCGGUCGAACCACCACCAUUGUUCCACAAUUAAUGAUGCCAAAAUGGUUGGAAAUAGAGAACGAGAAAAAAAUAAGAGAUAUUCAUCUGUAUAGAAACAUUAGUCUUUUUUUAUCUUCGGAACCGGAUUGUUGCUCGCAUAAAAAAUGGUGGGUCGUUAAUGAGGUCUGCAACGACACUUUGUACGAAAAUUUAUUAAGCAGAAUACCUCUAAAUGACUGCAAAUACAUCAUGAUGUAUUUAUUCAACGAUAAAACGUUCCCCGAAGGACUGAGUUUUAUCAGUGGAUUAGGAAUCUUAGGUCUGUACACUACAGCCGUAAUAGUCAUAAGUCAAAUGACCAGGAAGGUUGUGACUGAUUUGGCGCCGAGAAUUAUGUUCGAUGAUCUGCCCUACGUCGAUAGGAUACUUCGAUUGUGCUUGGAUAUUUAUUUGGUCCGUGAGAGUGGAGAGUUGAGCCUCGAGGAAGAUUUGUUUGCCAAAUUGAUAUUCCUUUAUAGAUCACCAGAGACGUUGAUCAGGUGGACGAGGCUUCCCGAGGAAGGGGAGAGAACUGAUAACGAAGAUCAAGAUGACGCGGAUGAGGAUGUUGCGAUAUCUCGGCAAUAAAUUGUCGAACGUUUAUAAGGGUAUAAACGUUACGAACGAAACAAUAUUUGGCCUGUUCUUUGGCCAAGAACUUUUGUUGAGUCGAAGAUUUUGAAUAUUUUAUCACUUAUCGCGAUGUGAAUUCAUUAUCAGUAAUUUCGGAUAAGACAAUAGUUCGCGCAUUUAUUGCGAAAGUGACGCGAAGAAUGGUUCGAAAAAUUCGAAAAACUCAGGAAUUUAUUAUAACCGUGUUUAUUGUUAAAGAAUUGAUUAACGAAGAUCGUUCCUAUCUUCGAAUAUGUAUAUUAUAAAGAUGUAUAUACGCAAGUAAUGCAAAGAGGAAAUUAUAUAAUUAGAAGAAGCGGAAGAUUUGAAAAUUUGAGAAAAGUUCGAGGAUACAUUAUACGAUAGAAUUAUUUAUUUCUUAAUCGUAUUUUUAAGCGAAACAGGUUUUAUUAAUUUUUAUUUUAAUAUUUAUAGGAUAAGGAAUUUAAUAUUAAUAAUAUUUAUCGCUUUAUCGUAUUCAUAUUUUAAGAUAUGAAAAAUUGUGAUUACGAAACAUCAAUAAUUCUAUUUGAAAAAAAUGCUUUAUAAAAUUAAGCAUCUAAUGAAUAAGAUUGUUACAGCACGUGCAGGAUAGUGCUAGUUUUUAUCUCUAAUUUACUACAAUUCAUGCCUAAACCGAACUGUAUUUCUAGCAUUUAAAUUACAUCUUCAUAGUUCGAUAAAGAUAUCAACUACAAAUCAGCACAGAAUAUGUUAUAAUAUAACAAGGAAUACAUAUUAAAUGCAGCUUAUACAUCUAAACCGCAUAACAUAGUUUUAUUUUCUUAAAUCUUUUUUAAAAAAUAUUAGUAAAAAUGUUAAAAAAUAUAUCAUCUCGUUAAUAUCAGCACACAUAUUAUCACUUUUCACUCAAGAUAUAUAAUAAUAAAAAAAAUAUCAUAUAACUAAAAGAUGUGCAAAAUUUUACAUUCCGAUAAUUAACUAUUAAUAUUAUAUGGAAAGUUAUAGACUAAGCAAUAUUGUGCAAAACACGUAUUUUCCAAAACACGUAGAUAAAUUAUCGAUGAUAGCAUGAUUUGUUUUACAUAAAAAAUGUCCAGACUUAAUCAAGCGAAUGUUUUUCUACGAAAGAAAUAUAAUUCUAUGAGGAAAAUGUAAAUGAUUCUACAAGGAAAAUAAAAGUGAUUCUACGAAGAAAAUGUAAAGUGGAAAAUCCACUGUUUUAAUUUAUAAUUGGUUUUAUAUGUAACAUGGAAUUAAAAAUACAAAUAAAAAAUCAAAUCAUAAGGGAA